This 464-nucleotide ribosomal RNA is filed under the name uncultured bacterium. RNAcentral describes it as "partial 16S ribosomal RNA". It matches the Rfam family "Bacterial small subunit ribosomal RNA", at positions 339 to 795 of the family's 1533-position model. The record is from RNAcentral.
CUACGGGCGGCUGCAGUGGGGAAUAUUGCACAAUGGGCGCAAGCCUGAUGCAGCCAUGCCGCGUGUAUGAAGAAGGCCUUCGGGUUGUAAAGUACUUUCAGCGAGGAGGAAGGGAGUAAAGUUAAUACCUUUGCUCAUUGACGUUACCCGCAGAAGAAGCACCGGCUAACUCCGUGCCAGCAGCCGCGGUAAUACGGAGGGUGCAAGCGUUAAUCGGAAUUACUGGGCGUAAAGCGCACGCAGGCGGUUUGUUAAGUCAGAUGUGAAAUCCCCGGGCUCAACCUGGGAACUGCAUCUGGUACUGGCAAGCUUGAGUCUCGUAGAGGGGGGUAGAAUUCCAGGUGUAGCGGUGAAAUGCGUAGAGAUCUGGAGGAAUACCGGUGGCGAAGGCGGCCCCCUGGACGAAGACUGACGCUCAGGUGCGAAAGCGUGGGGAGAAAACAGGAUUAGAUACCCCAGUAGUC